UACGGAGGAUCCAAGCGUUAUCCGGAUUUAUUGGGUUUAAAGGGUGCGUAGGCGGUUUUAUAAGUUAGAGGUGAAAUCUCGGGGCUCAACUCCGAAAUUGCCUCUGAUACUGUUGGGCUAGAGAGUAGUUGCGGUAGGCGGAAUGUAUGGUGUAGCGGUGAAAUGCUUAGAUAUCACGAAGAACUCCGAUUGCGAAGGCAGCUUACUGGAUUGUAACUGACGCUGAGGCACGAAAGCGUGGGGAUCAAACAGG
This 253-nucleotide ribosomal RNA is filed under the name uncultured bacterium. RNAcentral's name for it is "partial 16S ribosomal RNA". It matches the Rfam family "Bacterial small subunit ribosomal RNA", at positions 524 to 776 of the family's 1533-position model. The record is from RNAcentral.